CAGACAUAUUUACUGAAGGGUAAAGCAGUCUUUGGAGAAACUGAAUCUUGUAUUCAGUGAGAAAUGAUUGACAGGUGGCUGUAGUCAAGCAAGAGGCUAGGAGUCCUGCGAAAUUGGUGGGGCAUGAUUUUAAUAAAGAAUUUUUAUAACAGUUCAGUCAAUAAUAAUGAAUUGGCCUGGGUAGAAGGAGCUAUGCUGGGUAUCUGAAUAAGUGACAUUGGUUGAUCAGUUAAUAAAACCUUUUGAAUAGAUAGAUUCAGAGCACUAAGGCAGCCAUGGCCACACUCAUACAUGAAGACUUCCGGAUCUGCUUCAGAAAAUAGAAAGAAUGAAGGGAUAAGUGUGUGUCAGAAGCAAAGGGAAGUAUUUUGAGGGAGAUAAAUGACAAUGUGUCUUCGAUGAAAUACAUUUAAAAAAUUAAAUGCUCCCCUCAUUUUUCCAUUGCACUUUGUAGAAUACAUCCAACAUGUAUUAUGCAGAGAAUAUUGGACAACAAAUGAGACACUCAUGGUUCUUUCCUUUGCAGGAGGGGCGUGGUAGAGAAAUACACCGUGGAGACAAACAGGGAAUGACGCAUAGUGAGUGCUGCCCACGUGACACCACUCAUGCCAGCAGCAGCAGCAGCGGCAGCAGCCGUGGAAUCUCAUGGAGAAUGCGGGCACUCGUCGUCCCCUAGACCAGUGCAAUGAAAUCACUGAGAGAUGGGACAGGAGGAUUCCUAUUUUUGAACAGUUCCUCAUGAUAUUUCAGGGUCAGUCCUGGGAAGAGACCAUGGGCUAUGAGAAUUCCGUGCGUCAAU
Molecule: long non-coding RNA, 799 nt
Organism: Fukomys damarensis (Damara mole-rat)
Lineage: Eukaryota; Metazoa; Chordata; Mammalia; Rodentia; Bathyergidae
Source: Ensembl